ACCUACGGGGCGCAGCAGUGGGGGAUAUUGGACAAUGGGGGAAACCCUGAUCCAGCGAUGCCGCGUGAGGGAAGAAGGUUUUCGAAUUGUAAACCUCUGUGGAGGGGGACGAUAAUGACGGUACCCCUUUAGGAAGCCACGGCUAACUACGUGCCAGCAGCCGCGGUAAUACGUAGGAUGCGAGCGUUAUCCGGAUUUAUUGGGUUUAAAGGGUGCGUAGGCGGAGUGUCAAGUCAGCGGUAAAAUUUCGGGGCUCAACCCCGUCGUGCCGUUGAAACUGACACCCUUGAGUGAGUGAGAAGUAA
This 305-nucleotide ribosomal RNA is filed under the name uncultured bacterium. RNAcentral describes it as "bacterial SSU rRNA". It matches the Rfam family "Bacterial small subunit ribosomal RNA", at positions 337 to 660 of the family's 1533-position model. The record is from RNAcentral.